Molecule: long non-coding RNA, 251 nt
Filed under: Brassica rapa (field mustard)
Lineage: Eukaryota; Viridiplantae; Streptophyta; Magnoliopsida; Brassicales; Brassicaceae
Description: long non-coding RNA (BRAP_LNC000668)
Source: RNAcentral
CCAUUGGCAGAGCAACGAAGUACGCCUUGAAUAUUGAUGAGACCUAAAAUGCCUCCAAGGACACCACCACCACCACCACCACCAAGAAGCCCCCCAAGGCCACCAUUACCAAGAAGGCCCCCUAGGCCACCACCACCAAGAAGGCCCCCUAGGCCACCACCACCAAGAAGGCCCCCUAGGCCACCACCACCACCACCACCACCACCAAGAAGGCCACCCAGACCACCAAGCUGAGCCUUAGCCAUUGGAGA